GACACUCUGACCCAGGAGGCCGGCCCAGGCACCUCCUGAACAUCGGCAUUAACUCUCACUUACAGACAGUCCACAUGCCAUGUGCGUCCUCAGUUUCCCCAUCUGUAGGUCUUUUCCAGCUGUUACUUGUCUGGAUUCAAGGAUCACAGCCAGAUGCCUGCCCCAGCCCACCCCUGAGGCUUGGAGCAAUCUGCCUUGCACGUGCCACAUGCAAACACCCUGCUGGCCGCAGGAGGAAAAGGAGGCUUUGCCCUUCCGCAGCUGGAGCGUUGGAUUUUAAGCCACGAGCUGGGGAAGUUCUGGACUUCACGAGUCCUUCUCCUGCCCUUGGAAAAGUCGCAGAAUGCAGCUGUCAGGCACCAAGAGUUGCUCGGGGGUCUCACAGAUCCUGCUCAGUCCCUUAGAUAACAUCGUGUUCUACAUCAUCAGUUACCGACUGCCUGACAGCCGAGACUCUUCCUCCUCUAAAUCCCCCAGCAAAGGAGGACGGGAUGUGUCAUCUCUAUUGGUCUGUACACGCUGAGAGGUCUUUGAAAACAAGCAAAUUUUAUCUUAUUUUUUUCUACGAGAAAGGGAAGGAACAGCAUGUAUGGCUGGACAGUUACUAGAACCCAGUACGCAAGCACCUGUCUCCCUUGAGCCGGGCACUGAGCUCACUUCUUCAGAUCUGGUUCAGGAGAGAGUAAAGGAUUCCUGGCACACUGCAGCCCAGGGGACACAGCUCGGUGCAGAGGAGAGCUCAGAGCCUCAGGACAUGCCGCCGAGCCUUCACCCUGGAAACGUCUGAAUCAGGACUCCAGUCAGAAGAAAUGUUUCACUGAGAUGGGCUGGCUACCAAACGCCCACAGCGCCCCUCCUUAACAGCAGUCAGCCCUGGUCUAAAUCAACUGUGUAUAUCUUGCUCUAAAAAUGCGACACCAAUUUUUAUUUCAAAUGUGUACUUUUUCCAAGGUUAAACGUCUAACUGUACGUUGGGGGCGGGCACGAUGAUGCAGUCCAUCUUCGUCAUUCUCUUUGUCAGGGCCAGUGUCAUUUGGUGGCUGGCAUGAGGCUGCCGGGCGACGUCCACUAGAGACCCACUUCCAAGCAAAGCCAAAAUGGAUUUGUUGUCAACCUGCUGAUUAUCAUCCCGGCCUCAGCACUCCAGCCAGUACAAGGAAGAAAGACA
Phyllostomus discolor (pale spear-nosed bat) is the source of this 1168-nucleotide long non-coding RNA. RefSeq lists it as uncharacterized. The record is from RefSeq and is a predicted model, not a curated record. The transcript has 3 exons. NCBI's taxonomy places the organism in Eukaryota, Metazoa, Chordata, Mammalia, Chiroptera, Phyllostomidae.